GCUGCCUCCUUGCCCCCCCCCCCACUGCAGGGUACGGCCCUGGCACUAAGCUAUGGGAAGCUGUAGUGUCACAGCUCAGUACCUACAUGUCAAGGACACCGUUCAAGGAUGUGUAGGACUUAAUAGGUCAGUGCGUGUCAAGAACACAGUUCAAUGAUAUCUCAUAGGUCAGUGCGUGUCAAGAACACAGUUCAAUGAUAUCUCAUAGGUCAGUGCGUGUCAAGAACACAGUUCAAUGAUAUCUCAUAGGUCAGUACGUGUCAAGAACACAGUUCAAUGAUAUCUUAUAGGUCAGUGCGUGUCAAGGACGCAUGAAUCAAAUCGACUCACUGUGAACAACAGGCAUAUGUGACACAGCAUAAUAUAAUAGAUCUAUUACACAGAAAAAUGAAUAAAAACUCUUAUUUUACUGCUGGCUCGUCAUACCCAUAUAUAUGAAGGAAGUUGUUGAGCAUAUUUCGACGUAUCAAUGUACUAGUAUUAUUUCACUCGAGAUUUGAUAUCUGUGCGAACAGUCUGUGAUAUUCCACCCGUUGUAUUCCUGUGUUUUUGUCGCCGUUAAGAACCUAUCUAUACUAGUACAUGUAGAAUGCUAGAAUGCUACGUACAUAUACUGUACAUAAAUAUAUAUAAUACAUAUACUAUACAUAGUAUAGAUAUGUUGAUGUUAUAGUUUUAUCGUAAUACCUUAAUACUUUUACACGCGUAUUUCGGGCACCAAUAGCUUUCCACACUUGCUACAUUGAAUAACUGUUGAACUUAUGAUUAGCAUUGUGUUUGGAUUGUGUACGAUGGAUGUAGUAAUUUGGAAAUUUUUGAAAUCGUUUCUAUUUUCGGGUAAACGUAGAGUCGUUAUUCAGUGUGACAAGUGUCGUGUUUAUAUGGUACCCGAUUUUCGUGCAGGAAGACUGCAGUAUUACUAUUAGUGUUACACUGAACACGCUCAUGCACUACUUCAUAAUCAGAAAUCUUUUGUUUUACCAUCGACUUGUUUAUCACGUGUCGAAUAUAUAGUUUGUCUACUGCAUUAACGUAAAGAAAUCUCAUUCACCUGCUAUAAUAUAUAGUUUGUCUACUGCAUUUACGUAAAUAAAUCUCAUUCGCCUGUUAUAAUAUAUAGUUUGUCUACUGCAUUUACGUAAAUAAAUCUCAUUCGCCUGUUAUAAUGAAGAAAGAUUGCACUGCAUUGCAUUGAUGUUUUGAGUAAAAAAAUAUUGUUUGUAAUAAAUAUGUGAUUGUGCAUA
This is a long non-coding RNA of Priapulus caudatus, 1244 nucleotides long. RefSeq lists it as uncharacterized. NCBI's taxonomy places the organism in Eukaryota, Metazoa, Priapulida, Priapulimorpha, Priapulimorphida, Priapulidae. The transcript is spliced from 2 exons. The record is from RefSeq and is a predicted model, not a curated record.